This 187-nucleotide unclassified non-coding RNA is filed under the name Paramyrothecium viridisporum. RNAcentral describes it as "partial internal transcribed spacer 2". Lineage: Eukaryota; Fungi; Ascomycota; Sordariomycetes; Hypocreales; Stachybotryaceae. The record is from RNAcentral.
CAACCCUCAGGCCCCCAGUGCCUGGCGUUGGGGAUCGGCGUGGGCGGCGACGGCUCUCCGGAGCCCGAGCCAAUGCCUGCCGGCCCCGAAAUUCAGUGGCGGUCUCGCUGUAGUCCCCCUCUGCGUAGUAGCACAACUCGCAUUGGAGCUCGGCGGUGGCCAUGCCGUAAAACACCCCACUUCUGAA